Molecule: ribosomal RNA, 167 nt
Filed under: uncultured bacterium
Lineage: Bacteria
Description: partial 16S ribosomal RNA
Rfam family: Bacterial small subunit ribosomal RNA
Source: RNAcentral
GCUAGUAAUCGUAGGUCAGCAUACUACGGUGAAUACGUUCCCGGGCCUUGUACACACCGCCCGUCAAACCAUGAGAGUUGGCAACACCCGAAGUCGGUAGUCUAACCGCAAGGAGGACGCCGCCGAAGGUGGGGUUGAUGAUUAGGGUUAAGUCGUAACAAGGUAGC